GUACGUGAACCGCUUUGAGUAAAACGGGUGGGUCCUCGAAAUCCGAUGGCAUAGUAAUUCACGCUUAGUGGUGUUUUGCCUAUUUGUAUAUGUUGUAAUUUAUUACUCGUUGCAUGUAGGUUAAAAUUACUGCUUAGUCGGCAUUUUACUGUGUCAGUAGGGCGUCGCAACCGGUAAGGUUAUUUGCUUUAAGAGUCGCAACGGAGGUGACCAUUAGCACUUGUUGUUAGUGGUUUUCUAAAGUGUGGCUUGAAUGAGUUGAUACCUUAUCGUGGGACAACUAAAGCACUUGUGCUUUAGGCUCACUUUUUGCGCAAGACCGCCGGAAUGCUGUUUCAUUGUGUUUUUUCUCACUCUUGUAGUGGGGGAUUGCAUUGUGAUCGGCUGGUUGCUGGAUGGUUUAUUGCAAUGUGUGUGCACGUUGGCGACGAGUAGGUCGGUAACCCACCCGGCCCGUCUUGAAACACGGACCAAGGAGUCUAACAUAUACGCAAGUCAUUGAGCACUGCACUCAAAGGCGUAAUGAAAUGUAAUUUGACGUGAUCUGUAUUGCUACGGCAUUAUGGCGCAGCGUUGGCCCGUUCAAACGGCUUUGUCCGUUGAGCGGAGUAUGAGCGUAUAUGUUGGCACCCGAAAGGUGGUGAUCUAUACCUGGGCAAGACGAAGCCAGAGGAAACUCUGGUGGAGGUCUGAAGCGUUUCUGACGUGCAAAUCGAUCGUCUGACCUGGGUAUAGGGGCGAAAGACUAAUCGAACCACCUAGUAGCUGGUUCCCUCCGAAGUUUCCCUCAGGAUAGCUGGUGCUUAUAACGCAGUCUCAUCCGGUAAAGCGAAUGAUUAGAGGCCUUGGGGACGAAACGUUUUCAACCUAUUCUCAAACUUUUAAUGGGUGAGAAGCUCUGCUUUCUUAAUUGAAGUAGAGUGAGCGAUGCAAGUACCCAGUGGGCCAUUUUUGGUAAGC
RNAcentral lists this ribosomal RNA (960 nucleotides) under Uroobovella sp. 1WK. RNAcentral's name for it is "eukaryotic LSU rRNA". It matches the Rfam family "Eukaryotic large subunit ribosomal RNA", at positions 395 to 1145 of the family's 3401-position model. Lineage: Eukaryota; Metazoa; Arthropoda; Arachnida; Mesostigmata; Urodinychidae. The record is from RNAcentral.